RNAcentral lists this long non-coding RNA (602 nucleotides) under Homo sapiens (human). RNAcentral's name for it is "non-protein coding lnc-PPP2R1B-1:1". Lineage: Eukaryota; Metazoa; Chordata; Mammalia; Primates; Hominidae. The record is from RNAcentral.
CUGGAAAAAAAGAAUGAAUGACUAUAAUUUUGGCAAUUGCAGACCUAUUCAGUGUCAUUUGAUUGAAUGAUUGAUCAGGUGGUAGAAGAGGCUUGAGCAGGCCGACUUGCCCUUCAGGAAUACUGCCUGGCCUUCAGAUUCAACCUUAUUGCUUGACACUACUUGGCCUGCUCAGUGGCGCUAUCUCGGCUCACCACAACAUCUGCCUCCUGGGUUCAAGCGAUUCUCCUGCCUCAGCCUCCUGAGUAUCUGGGAUUACAGGAACCGGGCAAAUCUAACUCAGUCUUCCUUUGAUCCACACUGGAUGAGUGAACUGCAUAGAUGGGGUUUUGCUAUGCUGCCCAUGGCUGGUCUUGAACCCGUGAGCUCAAGUGAUCCAUCAUGUGCACCACUGCCCCAGGUGACUUUUUACAUAAAGUAUAAGAAAACAGAUUCCUCCUCUCAAUGCCUACAGGAAUCCCCUCUGAUCUUCUAACUGGUAAAGUACUAAGUUAAAAAAACCUCUUAGCCCUCUGUCUCUCCAAGUUGGGUAGUAUUAAAUAUAUGAAUCCAUUUUUAGCCUGGGCAGCAUGGUGAGACUCUGUCUCCAUACACACACACAC